This 333-nucleotide unclassified non-coding RNA is filed under the name soil metagenome. Its description in RNAcentral is "partial contains 5.8S ribosomal RNA, internal transcribed spacer 2, and large subunit ribosomal RNA". The stretch from base 1 to 120 matches the Rfam family "5.8S ribosomal RNA", at positions 35 to 154 of the family's 154-position model. The record is from RNAcentral.
GAUGAAGAACGUAGCGAAAUGCGAUAAGUAAUGUGAAUUGCAGAAUUCAGUGAAUCAUCGAAUCUUUGAACGCACAUUGCGCUCGCCAGUAUUCUGGCGAGCAUGCCUGUUCGAGCGUCAUUUCAACCAUCAAGCUCUGCUUGCGUUGGGGAUCCGCGGCUGCCCGCGGUCCCUCAAAAACAGUGGCGGGCUCGCUAGUCACACCGAGCGUAGUAACUCUACAUCGUUCCGGUCGUGCGGCGGGUUCUUGCCGUAAAACCCCCCAAUUUCUAAGGUUGACCUCGGAUCAGGUAGGAAUACCCGCUGAACUUAAGCAUAUCAAUAAGCGGAGGA